AAAAAACUAAACACGGCCCUCACAGGGACGGGCACACUGUCCACUUGUAGCUGCGCCCUAUGGCUUGUAGUGUGCUGAGCAACCGUGAGUCAAAGAAAUGACUGCUGUGACCACUUCACUCAUAAACAUCUAAACCAUCGCAAGUUCAUGAGUGGUGGCUUGCCAACCCCUAUCCUUUCUCCAUCGUUGACUAAUGGACUUCUUGGAGAACUGGCUAUUUGGCUAUCUGACUUUGGCCCGUUUGCUCUGUGUGCAUUAAUGUUCCGCACAGCUGGGAUUUUGAGCUGUUGCCAGUUGGUGGAAUCUCAGUAAAAUCUGUGGAUUAGAUGAAACUACCAUGUUAAUUUCCUGUGCUGCGGUGUAGAAUUCCACUCAGUUUAGGAAAUGCAAACUCAAGGA
This is a non-coding RNA of Castor canadensis (American beaver), 399 nucleotides long. Lineage: Eukaryota; Metazoa; Chordata; Mammalia; Rodentia; Castoridae. The record is from RefSeq and is a predicted model, not a curated record.